This 467-nucleotide ribosomal RNA is filed under the name uncultured bacterium. Its description in RNAcentral is "partial 16S ribosomal RNA". It matches the Rfam family "Bacterial small subunit ribosomal RNA", at positions 29 to 507 of the family's 1533-position model. The record is from RNAcentral.
ACGAACGCUGGCGGCGUGCUUAACACAUGCAAGUCGAACGGAAAGGCCCUGCUUUUGUGGGGUGCCCGAGUGGCGAACGGGUGAUUAACACGUGAGUAACCUGCCCUUGACUUUGGGAUAACUUCAGGAAACUGGGGCUAAUACCGGAUAGGAGCUCCUGCUGCAUGGGGUGGGUUGGAAAGUUUCGGCGGUUGGGGAUGGACUCGCGGCUUAUCAGCUUGUUGGUGGGGUAGUGGCUUACCAAGGCUUUGACGGGUAGCCGGCCUGAGAGGGUGACCGGCCACAUUGGGACUGAGAUACGGCCCAGACUCCUACGGGAGGCAGCAGUGGGGAAUAUUGCACAAUGGGCGGAAGCCUGAUGCAGCAACGCCGCGUGCGGGAUGACGGCCUUCGGGUUGUAAACCGCUUUCGCCUGUGACGAAGCGUGAGUGACGGUAAUGGGUAAAGAAGCACCGGCUAACUACGUG